GGGCGAUUGGUUUAGUGGUAUAAUACCUCUUUGUACGUCUCCUCUUCCUCGUCAUCCGCAAGGACGGUUACUAAUCCCAUACAGAGCAUAGAAUGAAUUCAUCCAUUCAACCUAGAGGUGGUCCAGGGUUCGAUUCCCUGAUCGUCCA
Rhynchosporium agropyri is the source of this 148-nucleotide non-coding RNA. NCBI's taxonomy places the organism in Eukaryota, Fungi, Ascomycota, Leotiomycetes, Helotiales, Ploettnerulaceae. The record is from the annotation of a GenBank genome assembly.